GGAAAACCUAAAUAACCUUGAUGUGUAGCAAAGUUGGCUGUUAAGUAGGGCUGUCAAUAGAUAAAGUGUCUAUAAUCAAGAUCUUGCUUUAAACAUUAAAGAAUGGCCUGAUUCUGCUAUCUUACAGUUUCAUGCUCGAAAUUUAAAUUAUACUAAAGAAGCAAUCUCAUUUUUUUGUAUAUGAAAACAGAAAAUUCAUUGGAUGCUCAAAUUGGGUUGUUCAAUUAAUUAGUUGAUCUUGACAACAACAUAUUAUUUUCAUUGCCACUUAAACAUCUCAACAUGUUUAGUUCAGUAAAGGCCCAUUCUAAUUUACCUUAAGCUGAAUUUGACUAGUUUACAAAACUUUCCCAGGCACUUCUGUUAAAUAAAAUAAACAGAUAGCCUAGAUGGAUAGAACUGUAUAAAUAACACACCCCUUAGGUGGAUAACCACACCAUAAAAUGUCUUAAUAGCCAAACCUCAGUUUUUCCACCUCCUUCAAGCAAAGGUGGGAUUUCCUCAUUAACGGGAGAACUCUUAGACGCUCCCUUUAGGCCAACACCUUGUUGCUUGAGCAAAGCUACAAGUACGCAGAGGAGUUUCAUGGUCAAUUUGCUUCUUAAAUUUCUGUAAAUAUCUAGAGUUUUUACAAGAGUAUUUACCUGCUACUUUUCCUCUACCUUCUUCAGGAGCAGAUGGUGCUGAGCCUGAAGGCCACGAAUCAAAUUUGGACUUAAAUGUAUUUGUUUCAUACCCUUGAAUGAGACGGGUUACAUGUGUUGACUUUGGUCUAUUUUGACUAGCAAUGAAUUCCUAAGAUCAUAAUCACGACAGAAGGGAAAAAAAAUAUAAGGAUAGGAAGCAUCUAGCAUCAUCUACACGAGGAUCUGAAUCAAAGAACUACCUCAGCGACUUGAAUAGCAGCUUUUCUAUCAUCUACUUGUGUUACCCGACCAAUCCAAACAAAAACUUCAGCACCACAAUCUAAUAAAAAGCAUUUGUUAUUUUCCAAUAACGAUUUGGACAGAUCACCAUCUACUUCAUUGACUUGACCAGCUAUAAUGCUGCAAAAGAAAAAAGGGGAGCAAAUUUCAGCACCUCGAGUCUAUUAAUGCUUGUAGCAUCAGUCAUCAAUCAUUAUAUUAUGACACACGGCCUGAUAAAAAAAAGGUGACCACAGCUCCCCUCAUUUGUAUUAAGACAAAAAACAUUUUGUCUUGAACUGUUGCAGAAUAAUUUGUGUAAAGUAUCUCGAGGAUGGGAAAAUUAAAAAGAUAUCUUGUGAACUACUAGAUAGCAAAAAGGAGGCCAUAUAUAAAGUAAAUCUUAUAAUUUAAGACAUAAAAUUUUCACUCUCAAGCUCCCUACUUCAACAUAAUGGUACAGCAGCUUGGCAAAAAGAAGUUAACACCACAAGCAAGGGGAAAAAAAGAUUACCUAUACAGUUUAGGAGCGGUCUUCUCGGGAAUAGCAUCAUCUUCACUAGCAACUUUUUUACCAAUUGGAGCAAAACCGCCAAAUAUGACCCAAAAUUCACCAGAAUCGGACUCCGCCUGUAGCUUUCCGUCAUCUGGAGUACAGCAUAGCAUCACAAAUAUAAGUAACUAGGGUUGAUUCAUCAACCAUCACAAAGGAGAACCAGAUUACUAGAAGAGUAUAUAAUGAAUUGGAAAGUAACUAAAGAAACCAAGAUAAAAAUCUCAGAUCAGAUGACCUGACCAUGAUCAUAAAGCAAAAACAGGAACAUUGUAUAUCAUGAAAGUCCCCAUACCAACAAUUGCGACAUCACACUUUCCCUCGUGAUACUUUUCUUUUAAAAACUGAAUCACUUCUAAGGAUUUGGCCCUUUCCUGAAUAUUGGAGUUUGCGCCGUUAAAUUGAAAAAUUUUCUCUUUGGUGUCCAGAAUAAAGACAUCAUCAUGAUUCAAUGAAGACCGAGAAAAGGGGACCUGAAUAAGAAAAAAAAAACUUAUAUUCCUCCAAACAAACUUUGAGAUUGACAGACUUUUACCGUGUUCUGCACAUGCCAUACCUGCUUCAAUCUAACAACUCGUUUUCCUUUACAGACAUAUAGCCGUGUUUCAAAUUCUUCCUCCUCGGGUUUCUUAAAUCCUGAGGCAACACCUCCUUCGAGUGGUAUAAUACAUGGUUUAAAGUAUGAUAAAAAUUUAUCGGACUCAUGACCUUGGAGUUCUCUGUACUGCACUGCACGUCCACCAAGAAUUGCAUCAAGCUCUACAGUCUUUAUAGCUGCUGUUCCAGCUUCAUCCUGUUAUAUGAGUUUUAUUUAUCUCUCAGAACAUAUUAUAGGCUAGUGAAGUGACGAGAUGAAUUUUUUUUUUAUAAGGAUGAACCCUUACCUGGCUUGUAUCUUUUCCUAGCCAAAAGUGUAUGUCAUACAGAUAAGCACCUCCCCUUCCAGGACUUGUCUGCAUGGAUAUAAGUUUAUGAAGCAUGUUUCACUUAUAAUUCAGUUAUUGACAUUGUCCCGAACAAAAAAAAAAAGAAAAAAGAAAAUUGUAUGUAGGGCAUAACCACCUGCAAGAUAAUAUACGAAUCCCCCGAAUAGAACCGGCCAUAAUCAGAUUUUGGCAAUGCUACUGGUAGAAAAUUCUCAAUUCUCCAAAUUUCAGUUCCACUAAUAGGUGUUAAGCACCAAACAACAUAAAGAAUGCAACUGAAAAGAAAAUCACUUAAAAACUGAACAGUAAAAACAACCUACAGACCUAGUAUAUGAAUGAAUUUAAAAAUGGUUGUGGCCUAUAAAAAGAACAAAAUUGCUAUCAGCAGAGGCAAAUUGUAAUUAAGGAUACAGUUUCUGCCCCGCACCCUGAAAUGCAGGCUCCAAAGCUUUUGUUGUGCUAGACAUUGCGUAAAGACCUCUCUUAUUACUGUUACUCCCAGAAAUAAAUAAGAGAAGUCCUUGUUACUCCCAGAAAUAAAUAAGAGAAGUCCUUGUGAAUUCCAAGUUGUACAAUCUCCAAACGGCUGCAGAUAUUAUAGAGGGAAGUAGGUAGGUUGCAAUCAUACAUAUACAUCAAUAGAUGCUAUAAUAUCUAAAGAUGAAGAACACAAAAUAUUAUACUUAUCAUGUGACAUCGUGGGUUGUUAUGCGUACCGGACCCAACAACCCACCACAGGUCGGCCCAAAAGUGAUAGCAAAUUUUUGAUUGUGCUUAUAAAGGGCCCAAAUACUCUUUAACUAUCGAUAUGAGAUGUUACAUAUCAACUCUAGAUGACAACAUAUUCUUUUGUUUUUCCAGUCAGUAAGCAAAAAAGGAUAAGGUAUGGUUCAUUCACAAGUAAUUCCCUAAAGUAGACAUGUUGAUACAAGACGAGCAAAAGCGAACAAAAAAAAUCAUGCAAUCAAACUACUGUACAAUUUGACUACAGAUAUCAUCUUAUAGUAGAGUGCAUCUCCACCGCAGGAUAAAUUUGUGCACAUUUACAAUGCCGCAAAUAUAGAUAUCAGGUAUGGUUCUCUGCUUUUAUUGAUUCUACUACUGGACAAUGCCAGCGGGCAAUGAAUCUUAAGAUUGAUUCGUGUCUUGCAUAGAUAUUAUAAGAAAAGAAAAAUGUACGCCUUGGAACUUCCUUCUCAUUCAUAAUCUUAGCAGAAAAAGAACCUACUCUCUCUAAACUAAUCACGUAUUAAGUUGAUCACAAGGAGACAAAACUCGAAACACUUGACAGCCACCCAAUCUCCCAGCCGAAACAAAUUCACACACACAGACCUAUCCUAACCGCUACGAUCCACUAAUCACACGCCAAUCCACCACUAAAUACACAUCAAACGUCCACACUCACUCAAUCACUUGACAUAUCCCCAAAUUAACCAAUCAAAAUAGCACAAAACAACAUAAACAUAUCUCCACACACAAACACACAGAUUUCAAAUAUUCACAUCAUAAUAAUCCAAUAAAACAAGAGAUCUGCGAUCGAUCUCAUUGACUGACGAUUGACUGAUAACGACUAAACAACAGAGCAUCAAAAACUACCUUUAUGACGAGAUCGCCGCGCUGUGUUGCUGCUGCUUCUCUCUCUAAAAGAUGAAGAAGAGUGAAUGAUUUGAUGAGUGUAGAGAGAGAAAGGUGUGUUGCAAAAGAGAAAGGGGGAUAUAAAGCUGGCAAAAAUAUAGAAAUGGAGGAGACAGAGGGUGGUAAAAAGGAAAGGUGAGAUAAUUAUUGCUGUAGGUGUUUCUUUGUGUUUUUUUUCUCUCUCUAACUUUUUUUUUUUGCUUUUUGGGAAUUAUUAUGAAUCGAAAUUGUACUUUUUGACAGAUGAUAGGAGAGUAUAUACACAAGAUGAUAAGCAUAUACUUUUGCUUGAAUUACCAAAAUUUUAAAACAAAUUAUUAAUUUAUUUUAAUUUUUUAUUAUUUAUUUUCUAAUUUAUGUCAGAAUUAAUUUAAAAAAAAAUUGAGAAAAUGGUCCGAACUUUGAAUGCAAAAAAGGAGGGGGGGCACCGGCCUUGCUGGAUUUUUAUUGCAAUAAUCAACUUUAGGACUUGCUGCUCCCUUUUCGUGCUCUCCAAUCUCUUCAUCACCCGUUUAUUACAAGUAAAUGCACCCGUCGUUUUCAACGUUAGACGGUUCGAAGAUAAAAUAGUUGUAAUAAUAUUAUGUUAAUUAAAUCGGUUUUUCUAUGGCGUGCGCAUGGGCACAUGCUAGGCGCGGAAAAUUUUGUGUUUGGAAGAUUUUGAUUGGCUCCUCUCUCUUGAUAAUGGUGGAUCCCCUGCAAAUACACCAACCAACACUAGACAAACCGUAAUUAAAUUAAUUCCUUCUAACAAUUGUAUGACACGUUUAAUUUAAUAAUAUUUACUCGGUGAGAUAAGUUAGAAAAUGCAAUUCGUUGGGUCAAUUUUACAUUCUGGGCUUCAGCACCAAAAUGUGUUGUGUUUAUCUUCUUCAAGGCUUUCUAACUAAUUUGGAGGCAGUGAACAAAACUUUAGUGCGGGGCUUUAAAUUAUCGUAAGAGCAUCUCCAACGGCGUUGGCUAUAAUCGUUGGCUAAAUUGGACCUGUAAGACUUUAUGUAAAAUUUGCUGAAUAUGUAACACAUUUUGCUUCAAUGGUAUUGGCUAUCUUGGUUGGCUAUAAUUUAAAAAUAGUAUGUUAUUAAUAUUUUAAAUUGUUAAAAUAGAAUAUAUCAGUUCAAUAUGGUAAUAAAUGAUGUGCAAUCUUCCUACAGAUUUUCUUACAGACCUGUAGACGUUCGACAAAUUUAGCCAUCCAUAGGAGGUUGGCUAAAAUUAUAGACAACAGGUGGACGUGGUUGGAGUGUACUUUUUUGACGAUGUUGGCUAUAAUUUUUAAUUAUGGUGUGACAACUCACAUUUUAGCUAAGGGUACUCUAUGGUUGGAGAUGCUCUAAGAGCAUCUCCAACGGCGUUGUCUAUAAUCGUUGGCUAAAUUGGACCUGUAAGACAUUAUGUAAAAUUUGCUGAACCUGUAAGACAUUUUGCUUCAAUGGUACUGGCUAUAUUGGUUGGCUAUAAUUUAAAAAUAGUAUGUUAUUAAUAUUUUAAAUUGUUAAAAUAGAAUAUAUCAGUUCAAUAUGGUAAUAAAUGAUGUACAAUCUUCCUACAGAUUUUCUUACAGACCUGUAGAGGUUCGACAAAUUUAGCCAUCCAUAGGAGGUUGGCUAAAUUUAUAGACAACAGCUGAGCAUGGUUGGAGUUGGGUUUUUGGAGCUGUUGGCUAAAUUUUUUUAUUUUAAGUAUGCCACAUAACUUUUUAGCCAAGGGCUUUAGAUGGUUGGAGAUGCUCUAAAGGAAAAAAAUAAAACACUGGUGAUAUCAAAUUUAUAUUUAAAUGACACGUCAUAAAUAACUGUUUCAACAACGGAUCUAAUUAAAUUUUGUUAUUAAUAGUUUUUAAUAAAAUUACUUAAUAAUAGAUAGUAAGUAUUUGCAUUUAAGGAAAGAUAUUUUGAUUAUUAAUAAAAAAACGUUGUAUAAUUUUAAAAAUUACACCACAUAUAUAUAUAAUUAAUAUAUUUAAAUUUGUUUAAAUGAAUUAUGACAAAAUAAAUAUAUUUCAAAAUGAAAAUUUAAAUGAUAAUAAAAUUUUGGUAUUAUAGUAUGCUAGCAUAAUAAAGAUUUCAAAAAUUACUAUAAUAUGAUGAUGAAAUACAUAAAUUAAAGUUAUAUGUUAAAAAAAAAAAAGGAACGACUAGAAUUAUUAUUUUUGAACUGUGACAUUAUUUUUUUAACAAAAUUAUUGGUAUGUUAAAAAUUCGUAUAAAUUGUAACAUUUAGUUUUAAAAAAUAUAAACUAACUUAAAAAUUGUAACAAUGAAAAUAUAAUACGGGAAAUAGAUCAUUUCCUCGUAUCUUAAACUAAAAUUUAUUGUUGUCCAAAUUAGCAUGUGCAUAUUUAAAAGGUUAUUUUUGAUUAAUAAUUGAAUCGAAUAUUAGAGUGAACACUAAUGUAUAGAUUAUAUAAUAACUAAAAUCAUAACAUACGCUCAUUCCAUUUAAUAGAGUAGUAUAUAUGUGGGGAUGUUACAUGAAGGUUAAAUGAAAUUAAAAUUUAAUUUAAGAAAAAGGUAGACGAAAUGUUGAGAUCCACUAAUAUUUGAUAUAUGAAAUAAAUAAAGCGGAAAUAGUUAAUUUUUUAUCAUAAUUUUUAAAUAUUUUUUAAAUAUAUACAAUUAAGAGGACGUCAAAAAAUAAAUUAUAUAGAAAUGAACAGACAAAAAGAGUAUCAAGCAAAUAUGUGUUUUGGGAGUAAAGUUAAUAUUAAAUAAAUUUUACAUGUUUUUCAUGAAUGCUACCACAAACAAUUACAGGUAUUAUAUUUAUAUUUUAAAUUUUGUAUCCACUAUUAAUUUUUUAUGAAAUCAAAUAAACAUUAAAUAAUGGAUAAAUAUUUUAAGAUCUAAAUAUAUGUAAUAAAUAAUUUAAAAUCUAAAUAAAAAUUAAAUAAUGGAUAAAUAAUGGUCUUUCUAGUGUGUCUACUUUUUGUUGAGGUGGAGGACUUUUACUGGUUAUGAUUUUUGUGCAUAUGCAUGAGACCAUGAUUAUUAAUGAGGUUUGGCCAAUAAAAACUUUCCACCUCAACAAAAAGUGGUUGUUAGCGGCACACACUAGAAAAUCCAUAUCUUAAAUACAAGAAUUCACAAUUUCAUAGUUACCGGCGGUAAAAUUCACGAAAAGUGUGUAAAAUUUAUAAAAUAUUAAUUUUAAUUGUUUAACACAUUUAAAUUAUAUUUUAUAUUGAUUAUAAUUUUAUAGAUUCAAGUGAUACCCAAUUGAUUCGAGUGAUGUCCGGUUAAAAUUUGAGUGAAUUAUAAUUCUAUUUUAAAACUAGUUAUAUGCAAAUUAAAAUUUGAACUGAAAUCAAAAGCCAAAAUCAAAAUCCAAUAGAUAACGGGAACCAGGAACUAAGCACAACUCUUAGUAUAAAUACAUGUAUCCAGUUUAAGUUAUGAUCAUCAGUGUUUGUUAUUUUAUUUCUUCCAAUCAUCAAGUAAUAUUUGUAAAAGAAAAUAUGGAUAACUUUAUGAAUCCUUUGUUGAAUACUAUUAUGGAUUGUUCAGAGCGGAAGAUUCUAAAAGGACAAGAUGAUCUUAGACGUAAGCAAAACAUGAGGAAGUAUGUCAAAAAAAUCGAAGGAAGCUUGUUCACUGAGCAUCUAAAAUCAGUCACAAACACUGCAAAUAAAGUUGAUGGAAGAAAAGAGAGGAUAAGGUGUCGUUAUGCAAAUAAUUUAUUGAAUCCGGUCAAAAAUAUAUUUGAGUGGAAUAUGCUCAAGAAGAAUCAUACCGAAUUCGAGAUGGCAAUCGAUGAAAAUAUUUCUAACAUGCUUAAGGAAGAAGAUCGAGAUUUGAGGGAGAAGUAAUCGGUCGCCCGAGAUUGCAAGCAAUUCCUCGGAUGCUCAAAUAAUUAAUUGAUCUAGACAACAACAUAUUAUUUUCAUUGCCAUUUAAACAUCUCAACAUUUUUAGUUCAGUAAAGGCUGAUUCUAAUUUACCUUAAGCUGAAUUUGACUAGUUUACAAAAUUUUGCCAGCCAUUUCUGUUAAAUAAAAUUAACAGAUGGUCUAGAUGGAUAAAACUGUAUAAUAAAUAACACACGCCUUAGGUGAAUAACCACACCAUAAAAUGUCUU
RNAcentral lists this long non-coding RNA (8096 nucleotides) under Daucus carota (carrot). RNAcentral's name for it is "long non-coding RNA (DCAR_LNC004537)". Lineage: Eukaryota; Viridiplantae; Streptophyta; Magnoliopsida; Apiales; Apiaceae. The record is from RNAcentral.